AGAGUUUGAUCAUGGCUCAGAUUGAACGCUGGCGGCAGGCCUAACACAUGCAAGUCGAACGGUAACAGGAAGCAGCUUGCUGCUUUGCUGACGAGUGGCGGACGGGUGAGUAAUGUCUGGGAAACUGCCUGAUGGAGGGGGAUAACUACUGGAAACGGUGGCUAAUACCGCAUAACGUCGCAAGACCAAAGAGGGGGACCUUCGGGCCUCUUGCCAUCAGAUGUGCCCAGAUGGGAUUAGCUUGUUGGUGAGGUAACGGCUCACCAAGGCGACGAUCCCUAGCUGGUCUGAGAGGAUGACCAGCCACACUGGAACUGAGACACGGUCCAGACUCCUACGGGAGGCAGCAGUGGGGAAUAUUGCACAAUGGGCGCAAGCCUGAUGCAGCCAUGCCGCGUGUAUGAAGAAGGCCUUCGGGUUGUAAAGUACUUUCAGCGGGGAGGAAGGUGUUGCGGUUAAUAACCGCAGCAAUUGACGUUACCCGCAGAAGAAGCACCGGCUAACUCCGUGCCAGCAGCCGCGGUAAUACGGAGGGUGCAAGCGUUAAUCGGAAUUACUGGGCGUAAAGCGCACGCAGGCGGUCUGUCAAGUCGGAUGUGAAAUCCCCGGGCUCAACCUGGGAACUGCAUUCGAAACUGGCAGGCUUGAGUCUUGUAGAGGGGGGUAGAAUUCCAGGUGUAGCGGUGAAAUGCGUAGAGAUCUGGAGGAAUACCGGUGGCGAAGGCGGCCCCCUGGACAAAGACUGACGCUCAGGUGCGAAAGCGUGGGGAGCAAACAGGAUUAGAUACCCUGGUAGUCCACGCCGUAAACGAUGUCUACUUGGAGGUUGUGCCCUUGAGGCGUGGCUUCCGGAGCUAACGCGUUAAGUAGACCGCCUGGGGAGUACGGCCGCAAGGUUAAAACUCAAAUGAAUUGACGGGGGCCCGCACAAGCGGUGGAGCAUGUGGUUUAAUUCGAUGCAACGCGAAGAACCUUACCUGGUCUUGACAUCCACAGAACUUUCCAGAGAUGGAUUGGUGCCUUCGGGAACUGUGAGACAGGUGCUGCAUGGCUGUCGUCAGCUCGUGUUGUGAAAUGUUGGGUUAAGUCCCGCAACGAGCGCAACCCUUAUCCUUUGUUGCCAGCGGUCCGGCCGGGAACUCAAAGGAGACUGCCAGUGAUAAACUGGAGGAAGGUGGGGAUGACGUCAAGUCAUCAUGGCCCUUACGACCAGGGCUACACACGUGCUACAAUGGCGCAUACAAAGAGAAGCGACCUCGCGAGAGCAAGCGGACCUCAUAAAGUGCGUCGUAGUCCGGAUUGGAGUCUGCAACUCGACUCCAUGAAGUCGGAAUCGCUAGUAAUCGUGGAUCAGAAUGCCACGGUGAAUACGUUCCCGGGCCUUGUACACACCGCCCGUCACACCAUGGGAGUGGGUUGCAAAAGAAGUAGGUAGCUUAACCUUCGGGAGGGCGCUUACCACUUUGUGAUUCAUGACUGGGGUGAAGUCGUAACAAGGUAACCGUAGGGGAACCUGCGGUUGGAUCACCUCCUU
Molecule: ribosomal RNA, 1534 nt
Filed under: Salmonella enterica subsp. enterica serovar Heidelberg str. SL476
Lineage: Bacteria; Pseudomonadati; Pseudomonadota; Gammaproteobacteria; Enterobacterales; Enterobacteriaceae
Description: bacterial SSU rRNA
Rfam family: Bacterial small subunit ribosomal RNA
Source: RNAcentral